This 484-nucleotide ribosomal RNA is filed under the name uncultured bacterium. Its description in RNAcentral is "partial 16S ribosomal RNA". It matches the Rfam family "Bacterial small subunit ribosomal RNA", at positions 28 to 523 of the family's 1533-position model. The record is from RNAcentral.
GACGAACGCUGGCGGCGUGCUUAACACAUGCAAGUCGAACGAUGAAGCCGGAGCUUGCUCUGGUGAAUUAGUGGCGAACGGGUGAGUAACACGUGAGUAACCUGCCCUUGACUCUGGGAUAACUGCGGGAAACUGUAGCUAAUACCGGAUACGACCAUCGGAGGCAUCUCCUGGGGGUGGAAAGAAUUUCGGUCAAGGAUGGACUCGCGGCCUAUCAGCUAGUUGGUGAGGUAAGGGCUCACCAAGGCGACGACGGGUAGCCGGCCUGGGAGGGUGACCGGCCACACUGGGACUGAGACACGGCCCAGACUCCUACGGGAGGCAGCAGUGGGGAAUAUUGCACAAUGGGCGCAAGCCUGAUGCAGCAACGCCGCGUGAGGGAUGACGGCCUUCGGGUUGUAAACCUCUUUUAGCAGGGAAGAAGCGAAAGUGACGGUACCUGCAGAAAAAGCACCGGCUAACUACGUGCCAGCCGCCGCGGUAA